UGGGGAAUUUUGGACAAUGGGCGAAAGCCUGAUCCAGCAAUGCCGCGUGUGUGAAGAAGGCCUUCGGGUUGUAAAGCACUUUUGUCCGGAAAGAAGUCCUUGGCUCUAAUACAGUCGGGGGAUGACGGUACCGGAAGAAUAAGCACCGGCUAACUACGUGCCAGCAGCCGCGGUAAUACGUAGGGUGCAAGCGUUAAUCGGAAUUACUGGGCGUAAAGCGUGCGCAGGCGGUUUGCUAAGACCGAUGUGAAAUCCCCGGGCUCAACCUGGGAACUGCAUUGGUGACUGGCAGGCUAGAGUAUGGCAGAGGGGGGUAGAAUUCCACGUGUAGCAGUGAAAUGCGUAGAGAUGUGGAGGAAUACCGAUGGCGAAGGCAGCCCCCUGGGCCAAUACUGACGCUCAUGCACGAAAGCGUGGGGGAGCAAACAGGAUUAGAUACCCUGGUAGUCCACGCCCUAAACGAUGUCAACUAGUUGUUGGGGAUUCAUUUCCUUAGUAACGUAGCUAACGCGUGAAGUUGACCGCCU
This 527-nucleotide ribosomal RNA is filed under the name uncultured bacterium. RNAcentral describes it as "partial 16S ribosomal RNA". It matches the Rfam family "Bacterial small subunit ribosomal RNA", at positions 355 to 874 of the family's 1533-position model. The record is from RNAcentral.